This 713-nucleotide ribosomal RNA is filed under the name Phytobacter sp. RNAcentral's name for it is "bacterial SSU rRNA". It matches the Rfam family "Bacterial small subunit ribosomal RNA", at positions 26 to 728 of the family's 1533-position model. The record is from RNAcentral. Lineage: Bacteria; Pseudomonadati; Pseudomonadota; Gammaproteobacteria; Enterobacterales; Enterobacteriaceae.
AGAUUGAACGCUGGCGGCAGGCCUAACACAUGCAAGUCGAACGGUAGCACAGAGGAGCUUGCUCCUCGGGUGACGAGUGGCGGACGGGUGAGUAAUGUCUGGGAAACUGCCCGAUGGAGGGGGAUAACUACUGGAAACGGUAGCUAAUACCGCAUAACGUCGCAAGACCAAAGAGGGGGACCUUCGGGCCUCUUGCCAUCGGAUGUGCCCAGAUGGGAUUAGCUAGUAGGUGGGGUAAUGGCUCACCUAGGCGACGAUCCCUAGCUGGUCUGAGAGGAUGACCAGCCACACUGGAACUGAGACACGGUCCAGACUCCUACGGGAGGCAGCAGUGGGGAAUAUUGCACAAUGGGCGCAAGCCUGAUGCAGCCAUGCCGCGUGUGUGAAGAAGGCCUUCGGGUUGUAAAGCACUUUCAGCGGGGAGGAAGGCGAUACGGUUAAUAACCGUGUUGAUUGACGUUACCCGCAGAAGAAGCACCGGCUAACUCCGUGCCAGCAGCCGCGGUAAUACGGAGGGUGCAAGCGUUAAUCGGAAUUACUGGGCGUAAAGCGCACGCAGGCGGUCUGUCAAGUCGGAUGUGAAAUCCCCGGGCUCAACCUGGGAACUGCAUUCGAAACUGGCAGGCUUGAGUCUUGUAGAGGGGGGUAGAAUUCCAGGUGUAGCGGUGAAAUGCGUAGAGAUCUGGAGGAAUACCGGUGGCGAAGGCGGCCCC